Molecule: unclassified non-coding RNA, 116 nt
Organism: Callithrix jacchus (white-tufted-ear marmoset)
Lineage: Eukaryota; Metazoa; Chordata; Mammalia; Primates; Cebidae
Rfam family: Metazoan signal recognition particle RNA
About the family: The signal recognition particle (SRP) is a universally conserved ribonucleoprotein.
Source: Ensembl
GCCGGGCGUGGUGGCUCACGCCUGUAAUCUAAGCAGUUUGGAGGCCAAGGCAGGUGGAUCACCUGAGGUCGGGAGUUCAAGACCAGCCUGACCUACAUGGUGAAACCCUGUCUUAA